AACGCUGGCGGCGCGCUUAACACAUGCAAGUCGAGCGAGAACCGGACCUUCGGGUCCGGGGAAAGCGGCGAACGGGUGAGUAACACGUGGGUAAUCUGCCCUCGGCGCCGGGAUAGCCCGGGGAAACUCGGAUUAAUACCGGAUAGCCUCCGAAGCCUUCGGGCGUCGGAGAAAAGGUGGCUUCGGCAUCUGGCUGAGGAUGAGCCCGCGGCGGAUUAGCUUGUUGGUGGGGUAACGGCCGACCAAGGCGACGAUCCGUAGCUGGUCUGAGAGGAAGACCAGCCACACUGGGACGGAGCACCGGCCCAGACUCCUACGGGAGGCAGCAGUGGGGAAUCUUGCGCAAUGGGCGAAAGCCUGACGCAGCGACGCCGCGUGCGGGAAGAAGGCCUUCGGGUUGUAAACCGCUUUCAGGUGGGACGAAGCUCCUCGGGUGAAUAGCCCAGAGGGUGACGGUACCUCCAGAAGAAGCCCCGGCUAACUACGUGCCAGCAGCCGCCGUAA
RNAcentral lists this ribosomal RNA (504 nucleotides) under uncultured bacterium. RNAcentral's name for it is "partial 16S ribosomal RNA". It matches the Rfam family "Bacterial small subunit ribosomal RNA", at positions 32 to 523 of the family's 1533-position model. The record is from RNAcentral.